ACUACGGGCGGCAGCAGUGAGGAAUAUUGGUCAAUGGACGAGAGUCUGAACCAGCCAAGUAGCGUGAAGGAUGACUGCCCUAUGGGUUGUAAACUUCUUUUAUAAAGGAAUAAAACGAGGCACGUGUGCCUUUUUGCAUGUACUUUAUGCAUAAGGAUCGGCUAACUCCGUGCCAGCAGCCGCGGUAAUACGGGGGAUCCGAGCGUUAUCCGGAUUUAUUGGGUUUAAAGGGAGCGUAGAUGGGUUGUUAAGUCAGUUGUGAAAGUUUGCGGCUCAACCGUAAAAUUGCAAUUGAUACUGGCAGGCUGGAGUACAGUUGAGGUAGGCGGAAUUCGUGGUGUAGCGGUGAAAUGCUUAGAUAUCACGAAGAACCCCGAUUGCGAAGGCAGCUUACUAAACUGUGACUGACAUUGAUGCUCGAAAGUGUGGGUAUCAAACAGGAUUAGAUACCCGGGUAGUC
Molecule: ribosomal RNA, 460 nt
Filed under: uncultured bacterium
Lineage: Bacteria
Description: partial 16S ribosomal RNA
Rfam family: Bacterial small subunit ribosomal RNA
Source: RNAcentral